AUUGAGAUGACCGAAAUAAAGUAAUAAACUGUAAAUUUAUAUAUGAAUAUAUAAUUAUUCUCUCAAUA
RNAcentral lists this transfer RNA (68 nucleotides) under Graptopsaltria bimaculata. RNAcentral describes it as "tRNA-Tyr". Lineage: Eukaryota; Metazoa; Arthropoda; Insecta; Hemiptera; Cicadidae. The record is from RNAcentral.